Molecule: ribosomal RNA, 1391 nt
Filed under: metagenome
Description: bacterial LSU rRNA
Rfam family: Bacterial large subunit ribosomal RNA
Source: RNAcentral
AAAAAAGCUGACACUUGGAAAUAGCGGGACCCGGAGAUUGGUAGAUCCGGGCGUAAGGGACCGAAUACGAGUAGGGAAGUCCGCGAUGUUCCGAGGCGAGAAAAGGCGAAGGUAGGGUGCCCGUACCGCAAACCGACACAGGUAGAUGAGGAGAGAAUCCUAAGGCCAACGGGAGAAGGGUUGUUAAGGAACUCGGCAAAAUGACCCCGUAACUUCGGGAUAAGGGGAGCCUGUCUAUGGCAGGCCGCAGAGAAUAGGCCCAAGCGACUGUUUACCAAAAACACAGGUCUAUGCUAAAUCGAAAGAUGACGUAUAUGGGCUGACGCCUGCCCGGUGCUGGAAGGUUAAGAGGAGAUGUCAGGCAACGAAGCAUUGAAUCGAAGCCCCAGUAAACGGCGGCCGUAACAAUAACGGUCCUAAGGUAGCGAAAUUCCUUGUCAGGUAAGUUCUGACCCGCACGAAUGGCGUAACGAUUUGGGCGCUGUCUCAACAGCCCACCCGGCGAAAUUGUUGUACUGGUGAAGAAGCCAGUUACCCGCAACUAGACGGAAAGACCCCAUGGAGCUUUACUGCAGCUUAAUACUGGAAUUCGGUAAUUCAUGUACAGGAUAGGUGGGAGACUGGGAACUAAUGUCGUCAGGCGCUAGGGAGUCGCCCUUGGGAUACCACUCUUGAAUUGCUGGGUUUCUAACCUGCGGCCGUGAAUCCGGUCGGGGGACACUGUUAGGCAGACAGUUUGACUGGGGCGGUCGCCUCCUAAAAGGUAACGGAGGCGCUCAAAGGUUGGCUCAGCACGGACGGAAAUCGUGCAAUGAGUGUAAACGUAUAAGCCAGCCUAACUGCGAGAGUGACGGCUCGAGCAGUAACGAAAGUUGGAGUUAGUGAUCCGGUGGUAUGUGAGUGGAAAUGCCAUCGCUCAACGGAUAAAAGCUACCCUGGGGAUAACAGGCUGAUCUCCCCCAAGCGUCCACAGCGACGGGGAGGUUUGGCACCUCGAUGUCGGCUCGUCACAUCCUGGGGCUGUACUCGGUCCCAAGGGUUCGGCUGUUCGCCGAUUAAAGUGGCACGCGAGCUGGGUUCAGAACGUCGUGAGACAGUUCGGUCCCUAUCUGUUGCGGGCGUAAGAGAUUUGAAGGGGGCUGUCCUUAGUACGAGAGGACCGGGAUGGACGCACCUCUGGUGCACCUGUUGUCGUGCCAACGGCAUAGCAGGGUAGCUACGUGCGGACGAGAUAAACGCUGAAAGCAUCUAAGCGUGAAACUUUCCCUAAGAUAAGAUCUCUCAUCCUUUAUGGAGUAAGGCACGAUGUAGACUACAUCGUAGAUAGGCCGGAGGUGGAAGUGCAGUAAUGUAUGGAGCUGACCGGUACUAAUAAGCCGAGGGCUUGACCU